This 304-nucleotide non-coding RNA is filed under the name Nicotiana attenuata. RNAcentral describes it as "rRNA LSU_rRNA_eukarya". It matches the Rfam family "Eukaryotic large subunit ribosomal RNA", at positions 1091 to 1376 of the family's 3401-position model. The record is from Rfam by way of RNAcentral. Lineage: Eukaryota; Viridiplantae; Streptophyta; Magnoliopsida; Solanales; Solanaceae.
UUUCACACAAGAUCUAUUCAAGCAUUUCCACGAGGUACUGAACCUCAUAAUCACAGCUCAUGGGUCCCCUUCUAAGCAGAACUGGUGAUGCGGGAUGAACCGGAAGCCGAGUUACGGUGCUAAACUGCACGCUAACCUAGAUCCCACAAAGGGUGUUGGUCGAUUAAGACAGCAGGACAGUGGUCAUGGAAGUCGAAAUCCGCUAUGGAGUGUGUAACAACUCACUUUCCGAAUCAACUAGCCCCGGAAAUGGACGGCGAUUGCUGCAAAACCUUGGGCGUGAGCGUUGGCGGAGCGGCCGUCG